This 393-nucleotide RNase P RNA is filed under the name Alphaproteobacteria bacterium. RNAcentral describes it as "RNase P RNA component class A". It matches the Rfam family "Bacterial RNase P class A". Rfam says of the family: Ribonuclease P (RNase P) is a ubiquitous endoribonuclease, found in archaea, bacteria and eukarya as well as chloroplasts and mitochondria. Its best characterised activity is the generation of mature 5'-ends of tRNAs by cleaving the 5'-leader elements of precursor-tRNAs. Lineage: Bacteria; Pseudomonadati; Pseudomonadota; Alphaproteobacteria. The record is from RNAcentral.
CCAGACGGCCGGAUGGUCGCCUUCGGUACCCGGUUCACCGGGGCCGGGGGAGGAAAGUCCGGGCUCCACGGAAACACGGUGCCGGGUAACGCCCGGCGGGGGCAACCCUAGGGAAAGUGCCACAGAAAGCAAACCGCCGACUCACGGGAUCUCCCGUCGGUCGGCAAGGGUGAAAGGGUGCGGUAAGAGCGCACCGCGCGCCCGGCAACGGACGCGGCACGGUAAACCCCACCGGGAGCAAGACCAAGUAGGGGCGGCAGGCCGAAAGGCCGGGCGGGUUUCCGCGCCGCCGCCCGGGUAGGUCGCGCGAGGCGUCCGGCAACGGGCGUCCCAGAUGAAUGGCCAUCCCCCCGUGAAGGGGGACAGAACCCGGCUUACAGGCCGUCUGGCACU